UCGACGAUGAACCGCUUUCGGGCGGGGAUUAGUGGCGAACGGGUGAGUAACACGUGGGCAAUCUGCCCUGCACUCUGGGACAAGCCCUGGAAACGGGGUCUAAUACCGGAUAUGACCGUCUGCCGCAUGGUGGAUGGUGUAAAGCUCCGGCGGUGCAGGAUGAGCCCGCGGCCUAUCAGCUUGUUGGUGAGGUAGUGGCUCACCAAGGCGACGACGGGUAGCCGGCCUGAGAGGGCGACCGGCCACACUGGGACUGAGACACGGCCCAGACUCCUACGGGAGGCAGCAGUGGGGAAUAUUGCACAAUGGGCGAAAGCCUGAUGCAGCGACGCCGCGUGAGGGAUGACGGCCUUCGGGUUGUAAACCUCUUUCAGCAGGGAAGAAGCGAAAGUGACGGUACCUGCAGAAGAAGCGCCGGCUAACUACGUGCCAGCAGCCGCGGUAAUACGUAGGGCGCAAGCGUUGUCCGGAAUUAUUGGGCGUAAAGAGCUCGUAGGCGGCUUGUCACGUCGGUUGUGAAAGCCCGGGGCUUAACCCCGGGUCUGCAGUCGAUACGGGCAGGCUAGAGUUCGGUAGGGGAGAUCGGAAUUCCUGGUGUAGCGGUGAAAUGCGCAGAUAUCAGGAGGAACACCGGUGGCGAAGGCGGAUCUCUGGGCCGAUACUGACGCUGAGGAGC
RNAcentral lists this ribosomal RNA (676 nucleotides) under Streptomyces sp. YIM 100341. Its description in RNAcentral is "bacterial SSU rRNA". It matches the Rfam family "Bacterial small subunit ribosomal RNA", at positions 62 to 754 of the family's 1533-position model. The record is from RNAcentral. Lineage: Bacteria; Bacillati; Actinomycetota; Actinomycetes; Kitasatosporales; Streptomycetaceae.